Molecule: non-coding RNA, 29 nt
Filed under: Mus musculus (house mouse)
Lineage: Eukaryota; Metazoa; Chordata; Mammalia; Rodentia; Muridae
Source: RNAcentral
UAUAAGAAAAUGAGAAUACUUUCUGUUGC